AUGACAGAUCAAUACAAUCCGACUUUAAGGGUGAAGAUUUCUUGCCAUUUUCCAGUACGAAGAAAUGAAGUUCGGAACCUGCUGCUUCUCCAGUAAAACUGACUUCGUUCAGGCCCUUCAUCAACUUUAAGAUGCAAUGCACGUUACAAAGUGGCUCCCAUCCAGGUGAAAGCAUUUCAUAUGCUAUGCUUCUUCUGUGAUUGAUGGAACAGGAAAUGUCAUGAACAUUUGACACUUGUGCUGCUUGUUGCUGUCAUUAUUCAUACUGAGAUUCUCACAGGUCUGAAGCAGCACCAGGAACCAGCCUAACACAUACCUCCACCACUGGCAGAGAUGAAUGUAGCUCAGGGGGAGCAGCUCCCCCCUGGGUAUUUAGGGGCCACCCUGGUGGGUCCGACGGGAACGUCGGGACCAGAGCCCUGUUACCGACACUGGUGAUUAUUUAGAGCCCAAGCCUCAGUGGGAACCGGGCAGUGAUGGAUUCUGAUGGGACCUGAUGAUCACUCUUCCAAUGAGAGUAAUUAAUAUAAUGAAGAGCUACUGAG
Scatophagus argus is the source of this 545-nucleotide long non-coding RNA. RefSeq lists it as uncharacterized. The transcript has 3 exons. Lineage: Eukaryota; Metazoa; Chordata; Actinopteri; Scatophagidae. The record is from RefSeq and is a predicted model, not a curated record.